AUAGACUGGCGCUUUAUGACUGACUGAGCUGGCUCUGCAGCAGGUCGGCAGGACUGCGGCUCUCUCAAUUGUGGCAGCAGCAGCGGCCUUUUCGAGCCAGACACUGCGCGCAGCUCCUACAGCGCCUUCUGCAAGGGGCUCACACACACGCUGCUCACCUUCUAAGACCUGCCCUGGCGCCUGCGCGUGAACUUCCCCUACUUCUACAUGGUGGCCUCCGUGAUGCUCAACGUCCGCCUGCAGGUGCGGAUCGAGUGAGCAAACGCUCCCCGCCGCGGCGGAGAGGGUCACCCGUGCCUUCCGCGCCGUCCUGGCGGCCACAGUAAGGACAGCGGGGCCACACGGUGCCUCGAGACUGCGGCGGGGGACGCAGGCGGCACGGCCGGGGCCCCUCCAUUUUAGGUCUCUGCUGAGGGCCUAAGGAACCGCAUCCCACACCGCAAAAACCUUCACAGCCCAGUCCUUUUCCUCUGCAUCCAGAGAAUCGCCAGAGUCUGGCAAACCUGUUGCCUCCCCAUUGGCCGAAAGCGGGAGAGGCCCAAAGAAGGGAUGCUACCACAGGACUUGAUUUACCAGGCCCUGUGCCUGAAGACAUUGGUCUUCUGGGUGAUGGCUCACCCCGUCUCUGAACAUUUCAAAUCGGAUCCUAGAGGUGCCACUGUUGCUGUAGUAGCCCAGGUAGCAGCUGAGUGAAGAGCCUGCCUAGAAGGAGAGGGGCCUUUCUGGUGAGCCCAGAGGAGUGAGGUGGCUCAGGUCUCCUGGUCCCUCCACAGAAAAGCCUUGGACACUGAUAUCUCCCAGUAAGUGUGAGGGAGAUGUGCUCUCCCACCUGUUACAGGAGAAGAGGAGAGAGCCCAGCCUGUCUUGGACCGGCAUUCCUCCAUCCCUGCUACAGUUUCUCCACAACCUGGCAGGACAUUGGGGUUGGGAGGGAGUGGAGAGCUACCAAGGGGCCUAGGGAGAAAGAGAGGCCAUGAGAUAGGGGAGCUGGACGUCUGCAUUCCCUUGGAGUGGUCUGAAAGACGGGUGAACAGUUGAUUUCAUAAAUAGAGGGUAAGGUUCAAGGAUUUCCUAAAAUGUCCAGCCCCCUCCAGAACCAAGCCCCCCACUUCUCUGGUGCUUGACUAAGAGCUCCUGGGCUAUUGUGUGGUAUGGACAGCCGUGAGGAUGGCAUUGUGGUUUAUAGGGUCAUGAUGUCACUGGAAGGUUGAGGAGAUGUGGCUGAGACCCAUGGUAUGGCCCUGUUUCUCUGUUCCCAGCUCGCAGGCCCAUCCCUGGUGUCACAUGGGAAAUCUCAUCCAGAUAAGCAGAGGACAGCCUGUCCAGGAGGCCCUAUCUAGGGUAGAAGUUGUGAUCUCUCAAUGCCCAAGAAUGGCCCAAGGGAUACUUUUGUUACUUAUCCCACACUCCUCCAACUUCUCUGGUACUGUUAUCUCAAGGUCUAUUCAUUCCUUUCCAGCAUGCCAGCCGGCCAGCCCCAGGGACAGAGGGGCCCAACUGCCCACUCAGAGUCAGAUAAAGAUCUCAGUUUGUCUCACCCAAAGGGCACAAACUGAAUGGUGGCUGCCACAUGGCCUCUGCUGCUCACCAUAGGGCAGGACUAAUGGCUUCCUUCUCCCAAGUUUCACUAGUAGUCCAUGUACGUAUGUUUGAAUGCAUGUGUGUGCGCCUAUAUGUAAAUGUGUGUGAUGGGGUGGAGUCGUUGGGUAGGGAAAGGAGCUCCUGGAAAUCCCCUGUUUUCCAAGUUACAGGAAGGAUCAUGGACUACUGGGAGAAAUGAGUGUGAAGCCUGAGGCCCCUUCCUCUUAGACCUCACACUACUACAGGGAAGCUCGUCCCUGCCCAUGCUCAGACAUCGGCUAUGGUGUGAGAUCAGAGCACUGGUAUUAGGCUAGACUUUGGGCCCAGUGAUGUCAUCCUGGAGAGAGGCAGAGUUAGGACUCAGCUUUGAGCUCAUGUCCCGUUCUGGCCCUGAUUAGUCUGUGAGCUUCUGCUUUGGCGUCCCCUUGGCUACUUUUGUUCUUCCGUGGUGCCCUCGCUGUAUGAUGUCAUGGUGCCCUUGCUGUAUGAUGUCAUGGUGCCCUCGCUGUAUGAUGUCAUGGUGCCCUCGCUGUAUGAUGUCAUGGUGCCCUCGCUGUAUGAUGUCAUGGUGCCCUGUAUUUGCAGGCUGUAUGAUGUCAUGGUGCACUGUAUUUGCAGGCUGUAUGGCAGGCAAUGGAGCUUCAAAUUCAGAGACUUAGCCUGGAUGACCUUACAUUUCCAUGUGUGUUGGACUCUGCCUGGCCAGCUCCGUCCGGUCAGAGAUAGGGUUUUCGAAAUUGUCACGUUAUCUCCCAAAGGUAAAAGAACAUCUGUACACCAAACACUGCCUGUCUGCCUCCUGUUUCUGGUGGGUGCCAUACCUUAUCCUGGGUGGGGAAAUGGGUGGGACAUGGGACAGCAAGCUCCAAGCCAAGAGGGCAAUCCAGAGAUGAGCAGAGAACCUCCUCUCCUUCAGAACCUCCUUCCAGAUCACCCUUGACAGGACGACCACCCUCUGAUCUCCCCUCUAUACAUACAUACACACACACACACACACACACACACACACACACACACACACACACCCUAAAUGGGCAACAGUGGAGCCAGGCCCAGAAGGCUCCAGUUGGUCGCAUUAACAUGGUUCAGAGAAAGAAACUGAAUCAAAGUCGUCUCUCUCAUUCUAGGGACUGGAGUCAAGGUGUUGAAUGCAAGUUGAACCUCAAGAGUAAGGGGAAAUGGAACCAGUGUCUGCAGGCCACUGUGUGCAGCCAAGUCCUCUCUGCAGUAGAUGAAGAGGAGGCCAAAGGCCCACAAAAGGGUCUUAGGAAGACUCCAAGACGUCUCUCUAGAAGGACAGAUCCGAGGUGACCAAACAAAAUGGAGCCUGCGGACCUGAAGUUUCAUUCAAAGGAUCCACAUGGGGCUCAGAACACUGUGAAACUUCAGUCCCAGAGCAACCAGUAAUGUCUUCUACACUAUCCUGUGACCAUGUCCAAAGCUUGAUGCCAAGUACCCACGUGGGAUGCACAAUGGUCUGCAACUCCAGUUCCAGAGCACCCAUGGCAACCUUCUGCCCUAUUCUGGGACCAGACAUGCAGCUGCUGCUUCAAACACUCGCACAGGCCAAACAGCUGUUCACAAAACUAUGCAAUGAUGCUUAA
Molecule: long non-coding RNA, 3185 nt
Organism: Rattus norvegicus (Norway rat)
Lineage: Eukaryota; Metazoa; Chordata; Mammalia; Rodentia; Muridae
Exons: 5
Source: RefSeq, marked validated